RNAcentral lists this ribosomal RNA (305 nucleotides) under uncultured bacterium. Its description in RNAcentral is "partial 16S ribosomal RNA". It matches the Rfam family "Bacterial small subunit ribosomal RNA", at positions 508 to 809 of the family's 1533-position model. The record is from RNAcentral.
ACAGCAGCCGCCGCGGUAAUACGUAGGUGGCAAGCGUUGUCCGGAAUUGUUGGGCGUAAAGCGCGCGCAGGCGGAUCAGUUAGUCUGUCUUAAAAGUUCGGGGCCCAACCCCGUGAUGGGAAAGAAACUACAUGUCUUGAGUACAGGAGAGGAAAGCGGAAUUCCCAGUGUAGCGGUGAAAUGCGUAGAUAUUGGGAGGAACACCAGUGGUGAAGGCGGCUUUCUGGACUGCAACUGACGCUGAGGCUCGAAAGCCAGGGGAGCGAACGGGAUUAGAUACCCGAGUAGUCCCUGUCUCUUAUACA